This 830-nucleotide ribosomal RNA is filed under the name uncultured Bacillus sp. Its description in RNAcentral is "bacterial SSU rRNA". It matches the Rfam family "Bacterial small subunit ribosomal RNA", at positions 32 to 841 of the family's 1533-position model. Lineage: Bacteria; Bacillati; Bacillota; Bacilli; Caryophanales; Bacillaceae. The record is from RNAcentral.
AACGCUGGCGGCGUGCCUAAUACAUGCAAGUCGAGCGAAUCGACGGGAGCUUGCUCCCUGAGAUUAGCGGCGGACGGGUGAGUAACACGUGGGCAACCUGCCUAUAAGACUGGGAUAACUUCGGGAAACCGGAGCUAAUACCGGAUACGUUCUUUUCUCGCAUGAGAGAAGAUGGAAAGACGGUUUACGCUGUCACUUAUAGAUGGGCCCGCGGCGCAUUAGCUAGUUGGUGAGGUAAUGGCUCACCAAGGCGACGAUGCGUAGCCGACCUGAGAGGGUGAUCGGCCACACUGGGACUGAGACACGGCCCAGACUCCUACGGGAGGCAGCAGUAGGGAAUCUUCCGCAAUGGACGAAAGUCUGACGGAGCAACGCCGCGUGAACGAAGAAGGCCUUCGGGUCGUAAAGUUCUGUUGUUAGGGAAGAACAAGUACCAGAGUAACUGCUGGUACCUUGACGGUACCUAACCAGAAAGCCACGGCUAACUACGUGCCAGCAGCCGCGGUAAUACGUAGGUGGCAAGCGUUGUCCGGAAUUAUUGGGCGUAAAGCGCGCGCAGGUGGUUCCUUAAGUCUGAUGUGAAAGCCCACGGCUCAACCGUGGAGGGUCAUUGGAAACUGGGGAACUUGAGUGCAGAAGAGGAAAGUGGAAUUCCAAGUGUAGCGGUGAAAUGCGUAGAGAUUUGGGAGGAACACCAGUGGCGAAGGCGACUUUCUGGUCUGUAACUGACACUGAGGGCGCGAAAGCGUGGGGAGCAAACAGGAUUAGAUACCCUUGGUAGUCCACGCCGUAAACAAUGAGUGCUAAGUGUUAGAGGGUUUCCGCCCUUU